UCGCCUGUUUAUCAAAAACAUCGCCUCUUGCUAAAUCAAAAGUAUAAGAGGUCCCGCCUGCCCUGUGACUAUAUGUUCAACGGCCGCGGUAUUUUGACCGUGCGAAGGUAGCGCAAUCACUUGUCUUUUAAAUGGGGACCGGUAUGAAUGGCAUAACGAGGGCUUGACUGUCUCCUUUUUCAAGUCAAUGAAAUUGAUCUCCCCGUGCAGAAGCGGGGAUAAGCACAUAAGACGAGAAGACCCUAUGGAGCUUUAGACACGAAAGCAGAUCAGCAUUAAUACCCUAAACACAGGGCACGAAUAAACUGAGCCCUGCCCUAAUGUCUUAGGUUGGGGCGACCGCGGAGAAAUGAAAAACCCCCGCAAGGACCGAAUGUACCACAUUCACAACCAAGAGCGACAGCUCUAAUUAACAGAUAUUUCUGACCAAUAAGAUCCGGCAACGCCGAUCAAUGGACCAAGUUACCCUAGGGAUAACAGCGCAAUCUCCUCUUAGAGCCCGUAUCAACGAGGAGGUUUACGACCUCGAUGUUGGAUCAGGACAUCCUAAUGGUGCAGCCGCUAUUAAGGGUUCGUUUGUUCAACGAUUAAAGUCCUACGUGAUCUGAGUUCAGACCGG
This 619-nucleotide ribosomal RNA is filed under the name Epinephelus fario. RNAcentral's name for it is "partial 16S ribosomal RNA". It matches the Rfam family "Bacterial large subunit ribosomal RNA", at positions 1796 to 2619 of the family's 2925-position model. The record is from RNAcentral. Lineage: Eukaryota; Metazoa; Chordata; Actinopteri; Perciformes; Serranidae.